Molecule: long non-coding RNA, 439 nt
Filed under: Capra hircus (goat)
Lineage: Eukaryota; Metazoa; Chordata; Mammalia; Artiodactyla; Bovidae
Description: lncRNA (ENSCHIG00000002197.1)
Source: RNAcentral
GAUUAUUGGAGUUAACUGUGUCCCAGGCACUAGACUAAUCAGAAUUUAACUGACAUUAGUUAAUGAUCUGGGUCUCUAGAAGAGGCCUGUGAGCCUGACACAGCCAGGCAUGACCCAACGCUGGACAAUCUCACCGUCGUUGAUCUGGGAAGAAACUCCAGACAGGACUUCUUGAGCAGAGGAUAAAGCAAGCAGCCCACAGAGGAGAAUGAAGAGGCUGGAGACCUUCAGCAUCUUGGAAUGGGCACCUGUGGAUUGGUUCCCAGGACGUGACUGAACCUCUGUACCAUCUCCCUCUGGACGGUCGAUGCUGCCACCAUCCCCCAGGAGUGACAAUUGAGCCCAGUCCAAGGACACCUCUCCAAUACUUGUGCUCAAAGUCAGAACUUCCUGUGCUCAUCACCCUCUAACCCCAGCAAUAAAACGCCAUUUCUGCACC